RNAcentral lists this long non-coding RNA (41189 nucleotides) under Coffea arabica (coffee). Its description in RNAcentral is "long non-coding RNA (CARA_LNC002385)". The record is from RNAcentral. Lineage: Eukaryota; Viridiplantae; Streptophyta; Magnoliopsida; Gentianales; Rubiaceae.
GAGUACAGGAGUCAGCUAAAAGCAUAGAAGAGCAUGAGAGUGUUGCAGGCAAGAUUUGUAGUUGAAAAAUAUAUGUGUAGGGAAUAGCAUGGAGAACAAGAUUGGAAGAAUAUUAGAGACUAUUUUUGACCUGAGGGAGCUAUUUGUGCAAUGGACCUUUUCCUGUAUAAAUAGGAUUGGAAAUAUGUGUAGUCAUAGGCUAUCAAAAUUUGUGAUAGAACUAGUUACCCGUGGAAACAUGAGACUAAGCAAGCAAGGAUUUAUUUGGUGGCAAUGCGAAAAAUGUUUUAUGUCAACUGUUGAAUAUCACCACGAAGAGAACCAAGUUUUGGGAAUUAAAUAACUCUUGAUUUAGUUACCAAAAACAAAUUAAUAUAUGAUGAAGAAUGCAAAUUAACCUUUUCAAAAAAUUUUGUGACUAUAAAAAUGUGUUAAAAAUCAAUUUUCAUCAAUACAUUCUAUUAUUGAUACCUUGAAAACCAUUAUAAGCACAAUGUAUAGUUUAUAGGGCAAAAAUUGUUUGGCACGUAAAUUUGUAUGGAAGUUAGCUAAUCUCCUAAUUUAAGACCACAAUAAAACAUAUGAUUUCAUGAUUUAGUAAUUUAGUUUUUUUUUUCAAAUUUUUAUUCAUUUAUUUUAUUUUUAAGUGUAGAUCUGAUCACUUGGUUGCGCUUUUUUACCCCUUACCACCCAACUCAUCCCUCUCCCUAGUGAUUUAGAUUUUCUUUAGUAAUACCCCUAUUAUAACAUAUAAGAUAAUUCUAUGACUCCUAAUUUGAGUGAAUUUAUUGAGAGUAUUCGUGUAACAUUAAUGUUAAAGUCUUUUUUUUUUUCUAGGAAGGAAAUUGUAUUUUUUUUUAAAAAAGAAUUUCUAUGAAAUAGAAUAGAAUGAUACUACUACUUUGUGCUGUAAACAUGGUUUCGUCGUUUGUGUAUAUGCAAUUGCACUUGGGAUUUGACUCUGCUUUGGAAAAGAGAUAAAACUUUUGAUAAUAGUGAAAGCGAUGAAAUCGACAAUGCCAAAAAAAAAAACUCUUCUAUUCAUAGCACUUCAUCCGGCCUGUAUAUUAAAAGCCCGAAUAACAUUAAGAGUACGUUUGAUAAAAUUAAAGUCUAAAUCUAUUAAAUUAUUGAAUUGUUAAGUAUUAAAUCUAAUGUAUUUGAAUAGCUUAUCACUUAAUUUUGGGAGCAAGUUUUGGCAAGAAAAUUCAAUGUCAUUUAAUUAAUUUAGAUGUUCAAUUUUUAAUUAUCAAACGAUUUGAAUAUAUUAAUAUCUAAAUCUAUUAAAUUUAAGCGUUGAAUUGGGUUAUCAAAUAGGAGCUAAAUGCUUGACACUUUUUUAUUUUUAAAAUUACGUUAAAAUAAUGCGUAUAUGUCAACUUAAAGCAAAGAUAUAAACGAUAUUAUAAUAAUUUCUAACAAGAAAGAAUCAAUCUUAUCUUUAGAUGCCUACUUUUGUCAAAUAUCCAUGUGAUCUUAAGUCCCCAAUUUUAUUACAAGUAUUAUUGUAUGGAAGUUAAUUAACCAAUAAAAUAAAGGGCAGCACAUCUUCAUUCUUGUAAAUGAAAUUCCUACUCGAAGGAUGUCUGCGGCUUAAUCCAGUUUGAUUUUAAACUAAGCUAAUGGACUUAACUACCCUUGAAAAUUUUCAUAAUAAGUAAUUUUCUCUAAUAAAAUACGACGACUUUUUUCAUAUUGUAAUAUAUGCACUCUUUCUUCAUAUUGUAAUACAUGUGUCGGCUUUCAUUAUACUUAUAUCCAUGUAAUAGAAAAAUCUAGAGAGUUGUAUAGAAGAAAUAGAAUCAAGUUCUUAAAUAAGACAUACUGCAAUAAGUACAACAUUUUUGUGAAUAAGAAAAUAAAUUAUGACAAAAAAUAUAUAGUUGUAUUUUAAAACAAGAGAGAAAAAGAGGGCUUGCAUACUGAUCGAUUAUCAUAAUUUUAACCCUUUAAAACUAUGUUUGGACAAAUUUAAAUGUUGAUCAACAGGGCAACAAAAUAAAUUUACAUGCACCUUCACUCAAAGAUUUGAAUUAGUUUAUGCCAAUUGAUUCAAACAAAAUUGUAUAUAUGGGAAAGUGAAAUAUGGAAUAUUGAAGUAAAAGAAAAUGAAAAUUGUUUCUCGAAUUACAUUUGGUUAUCAUAAAACAUGAGGGAAAAUAGGAAGUUUUUGCCAUUUUCCAUCGAAAUCAAAUUUAUGAGGACAAAAUACAGGAAACUGAACAACAGUGAAAAAAAAAAAUUUUUUUUUUCAACUUUUCUACUAACCAAACUCACGUGAAGGAAAACAAAUAACUAAUUUCCUUCACUUUUCUAAACACUACUUAUAGAAAUUAGUUAUUAAAAUGCAAGUAAAAUAAUUAAAAUAAAGCUAGUUUUCAAUCUAAUUUAUAUAAGAAGUUACUUUAGGUCAUAUCAUAAAUUAUAAGGCAUAUCAGAUGAAUUUUAGACUUUCAACAAGUAUUUUUAUUUUUAUUUUUUCAAUUCCCAAUCAAAAACAUAUUGAUAUCAAAUGAUAAUUGAUGCUCAAUUAAUUAGACUACUAGAAACUGAAAUGAUACUCAAUGAAUAUAGCCAAUUGAUUGUUUCACAAGCAUCACAAAAGAUGAAAGGUACCAAGUUAUCAAAAGAAGAAAGGUAUCAAGUGAUUCAAACUCUACUCCAAUACGGUGCUAAAUAACAAAGAUGAAAGGGGAAGAUAAAAAGCAUGAGUCUUAAACCCCUGUAGUUUUGGAGAUAAAUAUGUCAAUGGAGAGGAAAAUGAACAUGACAAAAUGACAAAUACAUAUUACAAGAAGUUGUGUAUAAAUUGCAUGAUGAUAUUCUGUCAAAAUGCCUUUCCAUGCAAUGACAAUUGCAAUAGGACAAUAGAUAGACCUGUAACCAGCUGAAUUCAUACGGGGUAGGUAAUUUAAUAGGUAUUGCAAAUACUACAAGAAUAAAACUAAUUGAGUUGUUAAUAGUAAAAGUAACAAAUAAUAAGAUCAUGCAAAAAAUAAUGAUUAAUCGAAUACGAACAGUAAAACAUAACGAUAAACAAACAUAAGAUGUGUUGUUUUGUUUACUUAAUUUCUUUUUCGCAUCGACGAACCAUGAGUUCUAAUCUGCUCAUAUCUAUUCAAAUAAUUGAGUUAGUAGAUUACGCAUGGGAUUUUCGCGUGACAAGCUUAUGGAAUUUGUUAAUGCCAGAUUAUUUUUUGUCAAUUACUGAUGGGAAAAAUGAAGAAAUAAACAAACUAUAACUACUUAAAAAAUUAUAAGCAAAAUUUCAUUUAAGAAUGCGAUUGUAAGCAUAUGGUUAGUAAUCCUAAUAAUUGAAAAGUAAGGAAAUGGUGGCAUGAGAAGAAGGGCCAAGAAAAUAGAAGGAGAAAAAGGAGGAGAACGAAAAAGAGACUGAAAUAGACAAAGGCAGAUUUGGUUUGGACACAAAAGAAGGGUCUAGUGCGGAAUUAAAUAAAGCUCAGUGGUGCAAAUUGCAAUUGGGUGCACAGUUAAAGCGGGUUUGGCGCAAAUAACUCAGACAAUUGAGUUAAAGCGCGCGAAGCAGAGAGCGACGCUUUGAAAUUGUAAGAACAAACAAACAAAAAUAGUAGCAGCACUACCGGCACUGGAGCCGGAGUUGUGGAAGAGAGAGAUGAAGUUCGCCGUCAAGAAGGGAUGGAGCAACGGAAGAGCCCGGUCAGGGGUUCUGCAGCUGGGCAGCUGUCCUUUCCCAAUUCAGACUCCCGCUCUGCUCCUCACAACCCGCAAAGGCCUGCCCCCUUUCAUCUCUCCGGACCUCCUUACCUCCUCUCUUCCUUCUCCGGAUUCUCACCUGCUCCAGUUCAGCCCCCUUCACUUGUAAGCGCUUGGCCCCCAAAAAAAAAAAAAGAUUUUUUUUACGCUCAAAAGAAGCAAAAUUUUUGUCUAUGAGAUGUUAUCUUGUCUGUCGCGUACCAGGUGUUUGUUGUCUGGUCUGUUCGUGUUCUGUGCUGGAACCUUAUACCAGCCAAGCCAGCACUAAAUAGUCUAACACUGCUAACUAGUUUGUAUGAUUCAAUUCAUGCUAGUAAGUACAACUGCCGUGUUUCUUCUCCAGCUUAGAGGGUAUUUCUCCUAAAACAAUAUCUAACAUUGGAGGACUGCACCAAAUGCUUAGUCUGCACCAACACAUAUUCGCGGCCGUACCGCGGGAUUCUAUCAUUGCCCUUCCUGAACAUGACAGCACUAACAAAUAUGGAGCGUCUUUCCAGACUCCUGGAGGCCGUCUUCUGGUUAUUUCAUUUCCCCUUAACGUCCUUUUUUCUUUUUAAAUGUUUGAGUUUAAUCCUUCUGAGAAUCUGUAUAACGUUUCAUGCUCUGAGAACCUGUAUAACGAGUUCUGCACUUUCAUGAAUGAAUCAGAUAAAACCUGCAGAAUACGUGGAACUUGUUUCUUCAAUGAAGCCUGACUUUUGGGUCACUUUGGCUGAUGAAGUUCCUGCUUGGGUUUCUAAUAAGAGGAACAGAACCUCAGUUGACCGCACUCUGAGAUGGCUCGACGAUUGCCUUUCACUCAAUAAGGAAAGUGAGGAUUACAUGGUUUUGAAUUUUAUAGGAUCCAUGCUCAGGAGAUUAUUUUUUGUGCAUUUGUAAGUUUAUAUUGAUCAUUUCAUGGACUGGUAGAAUUCUCAACUUUCUACUAGACAUGCAUUUAUUCGUACUAUAGGAGUUUACCCAAAAGCUAUUUUUGUUAUAAAUUUCUGAAGGCUUACCAGGUUGCACAUUAAUUAUCACUACAGACAGGUACUACUAUUUUUGGAUCCAUUGUAGGAGGCUCCAGCAUUGAAGAACGGCAUCGGUGUGCACAAGAAGUUGCACAAAGAAAUGUAUCAGGUCUGGUCAUUUUACUAGUAUCUUGUUUUAUGUUUGUGUCGUGUUUCGAGUUAUUAGCUUACCUUCUGAGCUAGUAUCUUUUAUUUUAGACUCAUUUCAAUGGUUGUUUGACUUUACAACAACUUUUGAGGCAGAGUGGUGAUAACAUUGGCUUUGUCCUCCCUUUAUAAUCGUCCUACAUUUGCUGCUUCAUAUUCAGCAGACUUUAAGUGCUCUCGAACCCCUCUACUAUGUAGAGUUGAAUCUAAAUUGUGCUCUUUAAGCCGGAAUCUCUGACAGGAAUUGCGAAUUCCUGGUUUUUUAAACAGUCUAUUGUCCCUUCAUAUUAAAAUUCUGGAAUUUGAAAAUUUCUGGGAUUUCAAAAAUUCUGAUUAGAAUACAAAAUCCUGUCUUUUAAAAACAAUAAAUUUAAAAUUAAACAUUCUAUGUUCUUGAAUUUCAAAUUCAAAAGCUCGUGAAAAGAACAAAACCUUAAAUAUCAACUCUUUUUCAAUAAAAACUUCAAAGUAAACAUCGACUCGAGCUCUAGCAGUACCACAAACUCUAAUACAAGGUCUAGCCGUGUUUCAAGUACAUGACUCUCAGUGGAGUGUAGCAUUUAAGAGAUCUUCUGUAGCCCUUUCCCACAAAAGAAUUGCAGGGCUUAUUGGGCUUGGUUUGUUGCUUGAAAACCAGUACAUAGUCCUAUAUGCUUAGGUUAUAGAAAGAUGAGAUUUAAGUUAUUUCAAGCACUAGAAAAUUUUAUUUGAAAUCAUUAUGCUGUGUAUAAAAAAAGGACAAACAUAUUGGUCUGUCUUCCUUUCCAUCUGGAAUACUCCAACUCAGGGUUGUUGAAUUUGUUGUCAUUAAUAGUACAAACAUUUUUAGAGUGCACGAUGCUUUGUGGAUCUUAGUGAGGAAACAGAGACUGGAACACUCGGAUUUCAAAUUUCUUGUCAAUUGUACAAUUAGAAUAUGAAAAUUGGCUUGCAGGAUAUUGGAUUGGUGGGUUUGGGCUUGGAGAAAGUAUGGACGAGCGGGCUGCUCUUCUCACUGCUGUUACGGUAAGACUUAAAUCUAGUGCUAGAAACAUCAUUUCAUAUCAUGAUUUGUCUACGGUGAUGUUGGCUAAUUCGUUGAUUCAACAUGAUUGUUUAAUUGGAAAUAUGAGAUAAUAUUUUGCAGUUACUAAAGGUUAUUAAUUGCUGGAAUACUUAUGCUUUUGCUUGUCUGCCUUUAUUAAAGGCUCGUUAUCCAAUAAUGUGAGUACAGGUUUUCUAGAGAUUCCCAACAUGCUGCUUUAAGGAUUUGUUGAUGCUAGCAUUGUAUUGACUUUAUUUCAAAAAGUCCAUGGGAGACUAUGUGAUUGAUGGAAUGGUAGCUCAAUUUAUUUCAAGCAUCACUUUGCACCAGAUAUCAUUGAAAGUGCCUGUUGUCACACAAAAUCUGAUGAUUAGAAGAUAUUCAGUGUUUGCUAAUGUCAUUCUUGAACCUGAAUAGAAAGCAUUAAUUGUUCAUUGUUGUCUAUGCAUCAUGUGUCAAUAAUGAAGUCAGACUUGCUUUCUUUCAGAGGGCUUUAAUCGGCUGAUGUGUCGAGUUAAUCAGCUCAAGUUCUGCUGUGAUUGCAACAUUUGAAGAAAAUGAGCAUUGUUAAAAAGGCGUAUUGUAGAUUCCUAUGGGAACUAGAUUAUAAGGAAUCCAUUAGAUAUCAAUUUGGUGUAAGCAUUAAUUUCAAGUUAGUCCAGUUGAAUUACCUAAGUUAAUCCUAUGCUCAUCAUUGAUUUAGUUUAUCUUGAUCCUUUUGCAUAAUGUGAUCAAUUGUGAGAAUGAUGCUUACAUUUAUUUGUUGGUUUGGGCUUAUCAUCAAUGGACCCAGGACAAUUUACCAGAGGACAUGCCAAGGCAUGUCUCUGGACUUGGACUUCCAGGUAAGGGAAAUUAUUUCAAACCCUUAACUUCUUUUUUUCCUUUGGGUUUUUUUUGGGGGGGGGGGGGGGGGGGGGGGGGGGGGGGGGGGGGGUGUGCAUGAUGAAAGAUUUUGUUUUGAGCCUCAUGUUUGAUCAAAUUAUGAGUUAAAGAAUAAAUUAGUUUUGUUCUUCAUCAACUGCUUAAUCAUAUUGCCAGUCCUAAAAAUAAUCUUUCUUAAUGGGACUUUUGUUAUGCUUUGAGCAUCUGGGAUUGUGUGUUGUUCAGCAAAGCUAUUUUCUGUCAACAGAGGAGGUAUUGCAGGGAGUUGCUGCAGGCAUUGACCUAUUUGACUCUACGAAUGUUGGUAGUUUAACAUUCUUGAACAUUUUACUGGCUACUCAGGAAAGUAACUAAAAGCUGUCAGGGUUAUAACAGGUAUGUUUACCAUCUUACACUUGGUGGAUUUGCUCUAACCUUCCCUCUUGAGAGAAAUAAGGGUGAGAAUGCCGAUUACCAGCUAAGUGAUUCGGGAGGUGAUGGCAUGAAGAUCAAUCUGAAAGCUACUGUAUAUAGGUAAUAACAGAUCUGGAAACCUCUGGAUGCUUUCUGCUAGUAUAUAAUAUAUGUUAGUUGAGCAUGCUGAGACAAGUAUCAUGAGGUGUUCUUCCUUUUUUCGUUUUGACAGGAAAGAUACAUCACCAAUUGUUGAAAGCUGCAUCUGCUUCACAUGCCAGAAUCAUACAAAGGCAUAUUUGAAUCACUUGUUCAACGUUCAUGAAAUGUUGGCACAAACUCUAUUGGAGAUGUAUGAAUUCUCUUGGAACCACUGUUAUUUCACUGUCAUGUACUUAUCUAAUAUGAUUAUCUCUGGCUGUGUUCCAGACACAACACACACCACUAUCUGGGAUUCUUCUGCUCAAUUAGAAAGGCUAUUGAAGAAGGCAAGUUUGAGCAAUUCCGGAGGAACUUUGUUGAAAGUAGACGUGACCGUCUCUUUGCUGCUGCAUCAAGUGCUUAACUUGUAAGUUUUUAUAUGAGAUUCUGUUCAACACUUCAACGUAGGCAUUUUUCUUUAAAGAAACCACACUCCUUCUGUAGAUGAGGAAGAGUACAAUGAACGCUGAUUGACCUUCUUCUUGUACCAAUUAAUUCAUCGUCUAUUUCUUCGUUUCGUUGGCUGCAUGGUAUUCAGACCCUUUUUUCUUUUCUUUUUUUUUUUUUUUUGUUUUUUUGAAAUCUGAAUUUUGGUUUGGCACAACAAUUGCUCGUGGUGGUGACUUGUGAGGUAUAGAAAUCAACAGAUCUGUUGAAAUCGGGUACUUAAUUUGUGGUGCUAGUGAUCUAUUCGUGCAUUGGCUUGCAGGAGAUCAAAGGAAUUCAUUCUGGACUCUCUGAUGAUGUUGUUAAUACUUUUGAUGACCAAAUGGAAUGUGCUAUUUUUUACGAGGAAAUGUUAAGGUUGUACCGGAAAGAAGGGAGGUGGAUUACCAGUUACUGGUUUUGAGCGAUUUUGUGGUGUUGAUAGUUAUAGAUGCCGUGAACGGUGCUAGUUAUGGAUGCAGUGGAUGGAUUUGUAAGGAACGUUUCCUUGCAUGCUCGUUAAGUUUUUGAUUUGGGGGAUUGAAUUUCAUAAAUUUUCUUAGCUUUCUGGACUCCUCUAUGAAGUCCUCUCCAUGUUGAAAAACCAGGAGUAGAAAGAAGAAGAGACAGCUCUCAGAUAUGUACUACAUACGUUGCUUUGUUUCCAUCAGUUCCCCACCAGUCUGGCGGUGGUUGGAAUUAUGAGCAACAGAGUACGAAGCAGGCAUGUCCGUGGUACCGGAUGCAGGAUGGGCACUCAGAGAACAGGCUCCCGGGUCCAAAAGGACAGGGCCAGCUUGAUUGCGUCUCGAGGGACCGGACUGGCAUUUGCUUACGUUGAAUAAUAGUUUGAGUGAGUCUUUAAUUUGUCACUUCUUUCCGACCAAAUUUUCUUUUCUUUUUUUUCCGUCUGAAAACCCUUGAGGUUGACCAAGAAAACAUGUGCUCGUGACCAGAUCAUAUUCGGCUGCAUACUUUGCACCCAUGUCCGCACGUUCAUAUUGUGUCGUGUACACUGCGUGUCAUUUUUUUUCCCCCUCAAAACAUGGCUCUUUAAGAUUGUGUAGGGCUUUGUUUCAAGAAUACAUAACGAGGUACGAGAUAACACAUAGGAGCUGGUCACAGUGUCUGCUAUUAACUAUCAGAUUACGGAAUUAGUCUAAUAGUGUGCGUCAUUUAUUUUAGAAAGGUAUGUACUGGAAACAAGGAUUUUAAAAAAAAAAAAAACAAAAUAAGGAGCGAGCCAUUCAAUCCACAUGUUUUUUUUUUUUUUUUUCUAGAAAUGAUAGGCAUUUAAUCAACAUGCAGUGGUUCAAAUUUUAGGUAGAGUAAAAAAGUAUUUUUUGGGGGCGGGGUGGUUGUUGUGGUAAGGUAAUAAUCACUUUGAUGAUUGGUUGAAAUAGGUGGGUAGGAUACGAAUAUGAUCAUUUUUUUGUGUAGCUUUGAACUUGUCUUUGAUUAAGAUAAGGAAUAAAAAAAAAAAAAAAGACGACCCUGGACACUGCAUCUCUGGCCGGAUUCGGCAAAGUCAGAACAGAAGCAAAGACUUUACAAUCUUCAACCUUGAAUGGCUAAUACAAAGUAGUAAUAUUAUUGCUGGUGUUAGUAAUAGUUUAAUUAGUAUUAGUACUACCACCUAGUUCCGCGCCUCCAGACGAAGUCUCUCUCUCUCUCUUUUUUUUUUUGGUAAAAUAUUUAUAUAAUCUAAUUUAUUCUAUUCUAUAAAGAGGAAGAAUUAAAGAGACUGUGAAAAAGGAAUAGCAGAUAGUCAAAUCUGAAAUCACAUUCUAGAUGAAGGCCUUUUGGAUUUGUUGGUUGGUGGGGGGGGGGAGGAGGGGAAGCUUCAAUCAAGCCAGGCCAAAAUAUCUUAUCGCAGGACUGACUAUAAGUCUACUUUGCUUGCAUUGACUGACUUUUCUUCAAAGAUUUUGGAGCAACUCAUAAAUAAGAUGAAAAGGAUGUAAAGUUAACAAGGACUUUGAUUUGCAGAUUCUCUCUGUAACUUAUUUGACAUAGGAAAUAGACAGUAGUCAUCUUUGGAAUUGGAACGAUUUCAGGAUAGCUAUCCUGAAAUGAAAUCUAGAGAAGCUCCCUGAAUUUGCUUUGGCUAUGCAGGACAUCUCCUUUUGUGUCUGUCUUGGUAGAGUAAAAACAUGCGUGCAAUUAUUCAGGACAUCUCCUGCUGUCUUAAGAACCAAAGAGGAUGCGACAGUAGUAGUAACAUUCAACCAACUAAAAUCACGGCCACAUCUUCAGGGGACUGGACCGGAGAGACCUCAUUCUCAGACCCCGCGGGGUGGGUUUGACUAUCGUGAGGACUUGAAAUUUUGAAAGCAAUUUUAUGAAUCCGGUAUCAAUUGUCAUUGUCAUUCGUAUAACGGUCAACCCCACCAUUUUUAUCGUCCAAUCACUGAACUAUAUUAAUACUAAUAACAAUAACAACAAUGAGGAGUGCAUAUGUAGUGGUAAUAAUUAUGAGUAGAUCUCAUGGACACUGACUGACAGUGUGUACACUAUCACGAUUGGAUAUAAGAUACAUGAGCAAUAAUUUGAAAUUUAAGUUUAAGUUCGGAUGAAUUGUCAUGCAUCCAAUCCAGUGGUGAUGAUGAGUAUUUAUAUACUGUCAGUCAGUGUAUAUAGAAGAUUAAUCCAAUAAUUAUUACCCUAAUAAAAUUAUCAACAAAAUAUGAAACACAUAAACCGCUCCUACCAUUUCCCAGAAACAUCAGUAGUAUAAUUUAUAUGUAUUAGCGUGGGUGCUAGAGGAUUAAAUCUUAAUCCCGACUCUCAAUUCAGGAGUAUUAGUACUAGAGCAACCUCAAUAAUACUUAUUAGUAUUAGAGCAGUACUAUUAGUGUACUUAAUAGUAGUAAUAAAUGAAACCUCUGAUGAUCAUGCAACUCCCUCACGAAACAGGGUCGAAAUGUCGUAUCAUGUAUGGCGGCAAUAUGGUCCCACACGCUCCUCCUCUUUCUCUUCUCUCCCCUUCGGUAAUAUCAUCUCAUCUUAUGUACCGAGUAACUGGAUGCUGAUAUCAACUUCUGUGUUGAAAAAAUGAAUACUACAUAGAGACUUACGACUAGUUGAAGUAUUUCUUCUUCUUAUUAGUAGUAAUCAUCUAGUUACAUAUAAUAGUAGCCAAAAAAAAACAAACGCGACAUAGACUACUACUAGUAGUACAAUUAGCUAAGAGAAGGAAGGGAAGGGAAGGAAGAAACAAGGAAGGAAAGGAGGAGAGUACUGGUGGCGGCGCUUGGAUCGAUUGCCAGUUGGUGGCCAGAGCCUCUGAGAGAGAGAGAGGGGCAUAUAGAUAUAAUAGCCUAACUAAAAAGUAGUGAGAAUACUAAGGAAGGAAAGAAGGAUCCAUCAUCAAUAUUGAGAAUAUUGAUCAUGGCAGGAGGAGGUGAAGGAGAAGGACUUACCUUGGAGUAUACACCGACGUGGGUGGUGGCUCUGGUGUGCACCGUUAUAGUCGCCCUCUCUCUCUUUGCCGAAAGGGUCCUCCACUAUGCCGGCAAGGUACCUAUUUCCUGCCUCCCUGCAUAAUAUACUACUCCUACUGUCCUACUAUAUAUAUGUAUUAAAGCAAGCAAGCUAGCUAGCUGCUGCUCAUCCAACCUUUCGUUCAUUUUUUCCUUCAUGAUACAACAUUGAUCGCAUUCGUGGGCUAACUAACAAAUUCUUCUUGAUCGGUUGGUGAAUGGUGAUGGAUGGCUGUCCUCCGCCUCCGCGUACGUGUGCAGUAUUUGCUGAAGAAGAAUCAGAAGCCGCUGUAUCAGGCCUUGCUCAAAAUCAAGGAAGGUCCGCCCUCUGCAUCACCUUCCAUCUCUCUUUUUACAUAAAUGAUAUCACCACACCACACCGCACCACGCCAUUCUGCUAAUAUUAUGGAAUGAUCGGGAAUGAUUGAUUGAUGACUCUUCUUUUUUUUUUUUUUUAACGAUCAUCUUCUCUCUUGGGACUCGGCGUUCAGAGUUGAUGCUACUGGGCUUCAUAUCUCUCCUUCUCACCGUGUCCCAAAGCAGAAUUAAUGAGAUAUGCAUCGCCAAGCACUUGACCGACGACUGGCUUCCCUGCAAGAAGAAAGAUGAUACCUCCUCCUCAACCAAUUCCCACCUCCAGACUACCUCCGCCUUCUUCUCCUCUCUCCUUCCCGGACCAGGAGGACUCCACCGCCGCCUUCUGGCUGAGGCAUCAUCUACUCAAGGCUACUGCGAAAAAAGGGUACUGCCCUGCUAACUACUCACCUUGUUGCCCGCCUAGCUAGCUUAUUCAUUCCCUUUCGCCCGCCGACUUUUCUCCUCAACUUUCCAGAGGAAGUUAUUAUGCUUCAUUUCAUAUAGUAAAACAGUUAAACAUAUGCCACUCACUCUCUCUGUUGCUAAUUGGGAAAUCUUCUGAAACUCAAUUUUAAGUCCCGCUCUUUCUUUUGCCAGGUUCUGGAAUUUCUGCAUUAUCAUCCAUCAGACUUUUAACUCCAAAAUUUUCCUAACCACUUUCUUGCCUUUUGCAUCAGGGGAAGGCACCGCUGCUAUCUCUCACAGCUUUGCAUCACCUUCACAUCUUUAUAUUUGCACUGGCCGUUUCUCAUGUCAUCUUCUGUGCGCUAACAAUUCUAUUUGCCAGUGCAAAGGUAUGUAAGAUGGUAGUAAUAUUUAAACAAGUUUCUUCAUUAAUUAUUUGUUAUCAAUUUUAUUUGCUCUCCAAACUGCAGAUCCGCCAAUGGAAACUCUGGGAAGAUGCUAUUCAGAAAAAGGAAGAUGACCCUGAGCAAGGUACUUGAAUUUCUUAGUACUGCUUCAGCUUUGGAUUCUCCUCCCUGCACCCUUGGAAUCACUAGUCAUCGCAUAUCCGAUGUAUAUCCAAUGCAUAUUGGCACUUCAAUUUGGUACUUAUAAGCCACUUGAAACAAGUUUCAUGUACUGAUAAGCAAUACAUGUUGCAACAAACAUCCCAAUCAGUGUCACCUCAUAUGACAGGCACAAUUUCACCCUGUGCAAGGUCUUCAUGGGCCGUGCUUCCAUUCUGUCUCAGCAUAUGCUUUUGGGAAAGCAAUAAUAUGUUUUACUCAAGUCUACUGAUCAAGUCUACUGAUUAUUUCUCACCUACCAAUAUUCAAUUUAAGUUGCAAUCUUGGGAACUUAAGAUGUUUCUUAUGCAGCUGAGCGGAUGAAAUUUACCCACGUCCAGGAACAUGACUUCAUCAGGGACCGAUUUCUGGGCUUUGGAAAGGACUCGGCUGCACUUGGUUGGGUGGUAAGUUGAAGUUGAAGAAUUAUGUGUGAUGAAACUUAUUUGCUUUCUUGCUAAUUUAACAAUAUAAAACAAAAAACAGUAAAAUGGCAACAAAAUUGUUUCCUUUAUCGUAGAUUGUAUGUGUACUUAGUGUGCUAGAAACAAUUUCACUCUUCCAAAUGUAGUUCUCCUACGCGAUUUGGCCAACCUUAUGCAUUUCAAUGACAUUGUGUUUGGAUGGAAAUACUCAAUGGCAGGAAACAUCAAUGCAGUAACAACUGUUGGUUGUCUAUUGCAUUGAGAGACUUCCAAAAUUAAUCAGAUAGAAGUCAGAAGGAAAGAAACCUGACAGAUAACUGGCGAAGUAACAUCUGUUGUCCAUUGCCUAUCUUCAAAUGUGAUCUAAUGAGUUAUAUACAUAUUCCCAGCGCAUAUAGUACAUAUAUCAGAGUUUUCUGCUGUUAGGUUGUAAAUAAAAAGUCUGCUGAUUUAUUUAUUCUGUGCAUGACCGUCCUCAUGCUUCACAUGACUUUCGUUAUAUGAUUUCCUCUAAUGCAUCAUGUUGAACUACAAACUGGCUGGAUCUUUGAUCUUAACAUAAAGGUUGGAUUUAAGCAUCACCAGGAUAUAAGGUAGGGGUAUACGUUGCCCAAAAUCAUGGCUCCUCUUGCACUGUAGACUACAUGAUAAACUUUAAAAAAUGUAUAAGUUGAAAGUAGACCAAGUAUCUGAGCCUAGUUUGCCACCAGAUGAACUGCUUUUGUAAAUAUGUCCAAGGUGAAGCAGCACUUGCAGGUCUGCCAUAGCUUAGCACUAAUUCUCUUGAUGCAAACAGAAGUUCACAGUUUUCUGUCAUGCAGAAAGUAACACAAUGCUCUAGUUUGGUGCCACUUUCAAAUUACAAUUCCGAUGAUCACACAAAUGAAUAUACAGGGCUCAGUUUACACAGAUGCUUAGUUCCCUCUCCUAGUUAUUCUCUUGGUUAGUGUAGUUCUGAAUUUUAAUCACUAAGAUUACCACUUCUGAGUUUUGAGGAAAUACCCCCAUCAUUACUGUUACUGAAGUAGUGGACAUCCCAGCCAUUUUUGUUACUGAAGCAGUAGACCCCAAAAAUGCCUCAUGUACAAGAACCCAACUUUAUCUGAAAAACUGGAGCCGUUCACUCUGCACUUUCAAGGCAUGUGCGGAACAACAUAAGCUACUGAUUACCCUAACUGAAAGACAUUUUCAUGACUCUAUGCCGGUUGUACCUUAUGGUUCUUCACAAUUAGCAACAGGAUUAUAUUAUACUAUUUUUUUCAUAUAAGUUGAAGUAAAGACAAAAUGUUCAAUCCCAGAGGCCAGGAGGACUUCACAGUUUGGUCUCUACUCAUUUCAAUCAUGAACAUAUAAAAAGUCACCUGCUUUUGAUCAACAGAUAUCAAAAUCAAAAUGAAUAGAAGCCACAAUACUAUGUUGUCAUGCUUCUAUAAAGGGGUUCAUAGGACGGAAGUACAAUAUCUUUCUGAACCAAAGCAUUUCCACAAUGUCUAAUUAGAAAUUGUUUCCAACCUGGUUUACAGGCUCCAGGUUCUAGCAGUAUUUCAUUUUUCUUUCAAGGCCUUUUCCGUGGAGACAAGAUGCUCAUGUCCUUAGAUUUUCCCUAAUUGUUGCACAUGUACCUUGAAAACAAUUCCAAAAGUGUGAGGCCAAUGGGAAAACUCACAUUUCAGGGUUUAGAAAGUUUAGAUGUAUGAAGUCUCAUUUCAAGUAUCCAGAAAGAGAGUGGGUUUGUUUUAUACCUUGUUUUCAUGAUAUUGUUUCUGUGGUUGGAACAUUUGAUGCCUGGAUCAAAGUGGAAGAAAUUAACUUGCUGUUGUGCGAAUGCCUGGCGUCUAAGCCUCAAGGCCACAUGCAUCACAAUAAAAAAUAUGAGAAUCAAACCAUUAUGGCUUCCAAAUUCUGGGCCUAAUACAUUUUUUCUUUUUUUGUGGCUUUUAAGGUGAUUAGAAGUUUCAGAUUGUCCUUUCUAACUGAGGAAAUCAAGUUCAUUAACAUUUUUAUGUUUCCUUCACCUGCAGGAAUCCUUUUUUAAGCAAUUUUAUGGGUCAGUUACUGAAUCGGAUUAUACCACUCUGCGAUUUGGCUUCAUUAUGGUGAGUUGAAGUAUACCAUAGUCUAUACUUCUAAAGUUAACUUCUGUUUCUGUACUCAUUCACUAACUUGUCUGAUGUCCUAAUUUUGCUAGACUCAUUGUCGAGGAAAUCCAAAGUUUAACUUUCACAAGUACAUGAUACGUGCCCUUGAAGCGGAUUUUAAGAGAGUUGUUGGAAUAAGGUAACUCCAAACUAAGCUCAUUGCACACCAUAUCUGUUGAAAACAGACCAGGUAGCUCUUCAAUACUUGCAUGAUAUUUUCUUGUACACCAUUUUGAUAUGAGCAGCAACAUGGUGCAUAAAGCUGCAAAACUUUACUGAUAGGAAGUUAAUUACAUUCAAUUUUUAUAUUAUCUUGAUUUUCAAAAUGCAAGUGAUUCAUUGGCAACUACAUUAGUGCUGAAGUUUCGUGGUACAACCUUAAAAAAGGAACGUAUUGGCCCCUUUCUCUUCUUUCUUUCUCUCAUUGCUUCGCUCCUUCAGUACCUUUUGUUCUUAUCCUCUCUUUGUACUUGACUUUUUCUCCAUCAUUUGAUUCGGUGGACAAUGAAAGCAUUUCUUUCUCUCUUCUAUGUUGUUAUGAUUUUUUGAAGAGGCAGCUCCUUAUCUUUUGUUACCUUCCUUCAGAAUUGAAUCAUGUUCUGGCAUAUGAGUGAUUUGAUCAAGCUUCAGUGUUUUGGUUACUCUUCUUAGUCUAGCAUGCACAAGAAGUGCGUUUGAACUUUAGAAUUGAUCCUUUUCUCUUUUUGAUGGAUCCUACUGACUCUGGACGUGUCUCAAAUGCAGCUGGUACCUUUGGCUAUUCGUUGUCCUCUUUCUUUUGCUGAAUGUGUAUGGUGAGAUGAUUCACUUAAUCCCCAAAAAAACUCACCUGCUCACCAUAUGAUGUGAAGUGUGAAAAAUGAUAUACUGAUUAACAAGAAUUCUGAUGCAUCUCCUGCAGGUUGGCAUACAUAUUUUUGGAUAUCAUUUAUUCCCUUCGCUGUAAGUAUACACUGCUACUGCUACCUACAUAGAUAAGAGCAUACAAGAAUUAAUAUCUCAAACUAAAAAAUGUUUUUUUUUCUCUCUGAAGAAAUGAGAUGGCAACGCAUUUGUUGAUUGACACAUUUAUGGAUGCACGAAAAUUUUUUUAAAAAAAUUGUUCUUCUUUUUCAACUUGGUGAAGCCUUGAGUUCCUUGAUCUCCAUAAAUCCAAGUCAAUCAAGUCCCCAUCAAAAUUUUGGAUACCAUGUUUAGAAGACAUAUGGUAUUUAACUUGUCUUCUUUGCGGUAAAGUGAGAUAGAUAUCCUUUGAACUUUGCAGCUGUUGCUUGCUGUGGGCACCAAACUAGAGCAUGUAAUCUCACAGUUAGCUCAAGAGGUCGCUGAGAAACAUGUUGCAGUUCAAGGAGAGCUGGUAGUCAGGCCUUCAGAUGAUCACUUCUGGUUUAACCGCCCAAAACUUGUCCUUCAUCUGAUUCAUAUCAUUUUAUUCCAGAAUGCCUUUGAGAUUGCUAUUUUCUUCUGGACGUGGGUAAGGAAAUCAUCUCGUUUUUCAAUGCUCCUUUUUUGCUCUGCCCCCUCCUAAAAGGAAAAGAUUUACACAAUGCUGCACCAAAUGACAGGCUCAGUACAAAUUUGAUUCUUGCAUCAUGGGAGCAGUUGGUUUUGUCAUCCCAAGACUUGUUUUAGGGUGGGUAUAAUCACCGCCUUUCAAUCUCUCUCUAGUUGGGAUGAAGAGUGUAGGAAAUGUUAUUAAUUGAAGCUGCUAAUGUUUCUUGUGUAUGUAGGGCGUUUGUGCAGUUCAUUUGCAGUUACAGUACAUUGCCUCUGUAUGCAAUUGUGACACAGGUUAAGCUACGUUUCAUCUAGGCUUCUGUGGUUGGUUAGUGGAGUCCAUUGACAAAGAUCCACCUAUCUGACAUGUUUUUCUUGCUGUUUUUCCGGGGGGAAAAAAAAAUAUAUAUAUAUAUACAGAUGGGAAGUACAUUCAAGAAAGCUAUCUUCGAGGAACACGUACAAGAAGGACUCGUGGGUUGGGCGCAAAAGGCAAGAAAGAACAAGGGCAUGAGGAAGGUGGUGAAUGCCUCUUCCACACAAGUUGGUCCCAAGGAGUCUCCCUCGGUAGAGAUGACACAAACACAGAAUGAGUCGGCGAGUAGAACUCUGCUGGAAAAGAACAUUAAUAAAGCUGCCGGAGAAAUCGAACCUGUAACUGAACUGCAUGAAACGCCACUCCCCUCAGCUUCUGACAUCAGACAUGCUGAUGCAAAUGACUCGCGAUAACAUGACAAUUGCAGAAUACGUGUGAAAUCUUGCUCUUUUACUGUCAUAUCUUGCUGCAAUUGUUAAUUGUGAAUUGCGGCUUGUACUACAUUCCUUGCACUUUUGAGGGAGCAUGCAGUAUAGCUAAAAUUCUAUAAUCCCUUUUGGAAUCAUUCCCUCAAAUUUGUAUUUCUAGAUGAGAAUAGUUCUCUAUAUUUCAAAUGUGUAAAACUGUUACAAUCUAUGGGCCAAAAAUACUUGUUUUACCAUCGGACGGCGAAUUUAAACAUGGCAGGCAGAAACCAAACAAUCUAACUCAAAACUAGAACGAAUAAAUUACUGGGCAGCAUUAACACUACUCCUAGCUCUUCUUAGCCUUCAAUUCUCGGCAAAUACUCCACGUGAAGAGGUUCUCAUCUCAGGACUCGAUUGAAUCCAGCCACACCGUCAAAAGCAAUUCCAUCUUCAUCUUUACAAGGAUUUCUUUGACGAGUCUUGUGCAAACUUUACCAGUUGCCCAAUUGCUUUUGAAUCUUAGAAUUGUGAGAGGACCGACCUCCCUUAUCUUUGUAAGAAUUUCUUGAUGUAAAAUUCUUUCUUCCCCCUUGGACUGCUUGAAUGGCCCGCCUUCUCUGCUUAUUGAGACGUUUUGUCAGUUCUGGCUCAUUCUCAUGCUCAGUUUGCCUGUCCUCCUCGGGAACAGUUCCAAGAUCAUUCGGUCCCUCAUUUUCAGAAACAACAUCCUGUUUCAUUUCUGUAUCUUCCUUAGAAGUCUCACCCUGUUCAACUGGAUUACCUUCCUCCUGCAAUAAAAUUAUUCUUUGCUCAAAAGACAAGUUUCUAAAUCAAGACUGAUAUCUUGAAUGUCCAAGAAAGCAUUUAACAAGUAACACAAGUCAAAGGUUGAAGGGCGCUAGUUACUGCUUGUAUAGCUUCCAGUUAAUUCAGAUGCUGGCACUACUAAUACGAUAACCAACAUUGAGUUGGGCAUCCCAACAAAAAUAAUCAAAUUAUGACAUCUAUUAUACUGCAAAAGCCUGCUAGAUGACAUAGUCAAAUCAAGUAUAGUAACGACUGACAAUUGAACAAAAGGUAUCUGUUAUGUGAUCUAAUCCACAUGAAAAUGAGAAGCUAUAAUUGAGGAUAUGCUUCCAAUUUCACUAGGAAUCAUGAUGACUAAACUAGUAUUACUGAAAGCACUAACAUCAAAUGGAACUAUAAAAAAGUCUACGAUCAUGGUGCCACAGCAGAGAUAACAUAUAAUUUCUCUAUUACCCAAUAAGAUUAAAUCAGGACUUCCCACACAUCCCUAGAGUAGUGCUGGAUAAUUUUCUGAUUGGCCUUUUAGUCGCUAAUAAAAUUUUGAUCCAAAAUGAUCCUGAGCCAAGUAUCAUCCCCAGUUACUACAAGUUGAGAAUGAUAUUCACAGGUUAAUAAUUGCUGACAUGUCCCAGCUUGAUAGCUACACAAGGCAAAUGAGUUGUAACAGCAGCAAGUAGGAACCAAACUAUAAACUGAAUUUUAGGAACAUUUUUACUAGUUGAGUUCGAAUACAAAAUCUGCAUAAAGACCCAUUACUUCCAGCCUGUUUACAUCUAAAUGAUAUAUUUUGCCACCAAAUUCCAACUGAUGUCACAAAGUUCAGGUACUCUAAAAUAUAAACCAGAAAACCUUGAUUUGAAAGUUUUCCUUGAUCAGCAAAAUCAUUAGCAAUUAAGAAACUACCAUCAACAAGCUCAAGGAAUCAAAUACCUCAAAGUGUCCUUCAUCUUUCUCAAUGGGCUCAUCUGCACUUUCUUUGUCAUCAGAAUCCAGAUCCUUCUCAACAUCAUCUCCUGUAAACUGCAAUAUUAUGCAUUACAUAUAUGUAACCCAAAAUCAGUCAGUAUCACGCAUUUUGUACAAUCAAUGAGUUCAAAAAUUAAUGCCAAGGCAGCAAUCAAGAAGCCCUAACAUUCAACUCGAUUGUGGUAUAAAUCAUUAGUUUAUGUUAAAACCACAUAUCAAACUUCAAAACCGCACCAAGCCUCCAGAGAUUUUUGUAGUUACCUUAGGAGUCUUAAUUUUUGUAAUUUCUAAUAAAGAAUGAUCAUUUAUUGAGAAUUUCAUCAUUCGCAAAAUGGCAAAAACCGAUUCAUACCCGUUCAAUAUCAUCCUGAUCCUUUCUAGUGAAGCCACUUGCAGAAAGUUCCUUGUCUAAGAAACCAGUAACUUUCUUAAUAUCAGCAAAGCUAGGCCUGCCAACUUCCUCUGAGUCUACCUUGGAAUCAUCCGAAUGACCAGCAUUUUCCUCGAAAGACAGGUUGAACCUGCAGCAGUUUACCAGAAAAGGAAGUAAGACAAUCGCAUUAACAAUUAUGCCAGGUCCGAAAAGAUAACAGAUAAGCUAAAUAAUGAUAUUAAUGCAACACAGAAAAACCUCUGACAUAAUGAGCCCUAAGAAAACUUUGAUAAGCCAUCACUAAACCAUUUUAUUUUUGUUUCUUGGAUAACAGAUUUCUAAAGUUUAGCUUCUAAAGUCAUUUUUUCCAACAGAUUCUCCAGCUCCAGCAUCAAAUGAAUUAACAUGACCAUAUCAAAAAACAUAAUCCCCUAAUGCUACAACGUUGUUGGAUAUCAUCGUAUAGCCUAAUUUCUAUUUGCAGUUGCAACCCCACAAUUAUCUUGUGAGCAAUCAAUUAGCAAUGGCUAUAUCAGCACAUCAACUAAGUCACCUGGUCAAUAUGCCUGAAGUUCAGUGUCCAAUUGUACAUACUGCCAGUUUACUAAAACAACUUUCCAGUCAGAUUUCUAGCCAUCAAACUGUCAAUGCUAGCAGAAAAAAUUCACUAACCUCUUACUGAAAAACUUGAAGAUACAUUCUACAUCACGAUCAAAGUACCUGAAAGUUGGAACUCUUAUAAGAAACAAUGAUGACAAUUGACAGUAUUUAGAGAAUGAAAUGAUGCAACAAGCAAGGGGGACAAAAUAAAAAGACAAGCUAGAGUGUACAUCAGUAGCAAUAAACAUACAUCUGAGCAUUGUGAUGAGAGACUGACACCAUUUGUGGGAAAUCAAUCAUUGUCACCUUUUCAUCAUCAUCAAUCUAACACAAGCAAAACAGCAAGGUUAAAGGCAAGGCAAAACACAUGUGGAGCUAGAAAUAGAAGUGCUAUGUUCAGUCACAGCAUUGGAAUUACCUAAUUAUCUUGACAAGUAAAAGUAACCUUUUCUUUUUUGGGUAAGCAAGUUGCCAGAAAUAUAAGUGGUUAAGUAAAGACAGUCGAGACAGAUAGGCACCUUAACAGCCCAUCAGAAAAAGAAAAUUCAAAAAAAACAGGAGACUUCUUUUACUUUUUCCCUUUUUCUAAUGAGUACAAAUGAAAAAUAUUGCACGCGUAAUAUAAUACUUAUCAGCAUACCAUGAUGUUGAAUUCGUUAAAAUCGCAGUGAAUAAGCCCAUGCUCAGCAAGACGAACAACAAGGCCAACAAUCGUUUCAAAAACCGUAUCUGGGUUCUGCAGUUCCUUAACCUGUACACUACAUUACAGCAGGAAAUAACGUUUAACUGUGCCAGAAAAGCAUCUUGCAUGAAAUCCAAAGGUACACAAAUAAGGUAUACUUAAGAGAAAAGAUGCUAUUGCAGCAGAUAGCCACUAAUUCUUAAGUUUCAGCAGAACAUUCAAUAAAAAUUCCAUCCUGAUGAGUAAUGCCUAACAGAAAUUAUUCCUGACACGUGCCAGCCCAGACUAGUUGAGCAACAGAAGUUUGGUCCAUAAGGGGAGAAGCUUUCCAUGUAUUCUAGUUGAUAUUUGAAAGUUUUGCUACUAGUCUUAACAUGAAAGUAGAAAGUUCAUCUUUUUAAAGUAUUUGCGGUUAUUGGUAAGCACUUACAGUGGGUAUCCUUGGAUGAGUGACAUAACAACACAGUGUCUGUUGCUAUCUACUGCAAGUGGAACAGGAAAGCCAUGUUCUUCCAAAGCCUGCUCAGUCAAACUAUCAGCUAAAUGUCACAAUCAGAAAAGCAGAAAGCGACAGCAGAGAGAGAGAGAGAGAGAGAGCUAAAGAACCUUCAUGAAGGCAAAUUCCUUGAGAGCAGCAAGGCGCGACAAAUAGAGCCAAUUAUAACUACUGCGAUGCUUCAAAUAAUCACGCUUAGACUUGACAGCUCUAAAAGAUACUCUACCAAGUCUGUGCAGCUUCAUUGCAAGGAUGGUGCCAUCUUCCUUGGCCACCUCAAAAAUAUCUUCAAUAAGGGGACAAAAUGUUUCAACAGUCUUUGUCAAUACAUUGAGAAUGAGAGCAGUUAAAACUCAAGAUACGAAAGAAAAGUAGGGAUUUUUAAGUAAACAACAAAGUUACCAGACUCUUUGCCGACACCAAUUUGACGACCAACGGCAGUGAAAACUCCCCGAUUAACCAAGGUUUUGAUAGCGAGGAAAUCAUAACCGAGGUAAGUGAGUCGAAAGCCAUCAUCUAACACACAUCAUAGAACAGAUAAUGACAAAUCAGAUUAUUGUUGUUGUACAAUUUAAUCAAGAUUUUUUUUCCAGGAAGCACAAGGAUUUACAAAUUUAUAACUCAGUGGGCAUCAGAAUGACAACAAUCGUGGAGCUGAAGUAAGAAGUAGGGUGGGGGGGGGGGGACAUACAUUUGGAGGAGUCAUGGUGCAAGAGCUUGUGCUUGAGCAAAUUCUUCAAGACCUUAUAAGUACCUCCGUGCCUUUCAAAAUGCAAAAGUAAGAAGGAAUAGUUUCAGACAAAGCAGAAAGCUAGAAAAGAGUUGAAUAACACAUAGCAGGUGAAAUUUGUGAAUAUAGCCGUAAGUGUGAAGUGACAAACGAGAACAGUUGUAGUAUAGAAAAGGGAGGGAAAAGAUGGGGACUUACUUGAGGGAGGCGAUUCGGUCAAUUAGCUCUGAGGGAACAAUCUCGUGCUGAAAAUAUAACAGAAAGAAAGCAAUUUAGAAAAGAAGAAGCAAAGAUGAAUAAGAAGCCGAAGAGAGAGAGAGAGAGAGAGACAUUGCGCAUUCCCAUUUCGACGGCGGUGAGAACCCUGAAAUCAUCCUUGGAUAGGUACCUCAACACGUCCACAUCCAACUUCAUCCUUUAUUACUUCUAGUAGUACAGCAGCCCGGCUACUUUUAAUAUGGAAAUCAACAAAAAGAAUAACAGGCGGAGGCGGAGGCGUGGGCGGCGGACGCCUGGACGGCCGGUGGUUGUGGUGGAGAGGGUACUUUUUAAGCGAGUUUAACCUGUCUCUGGAUUCAGUUGAGUUGAGGAUGAUGAUGGCGGCUUGCUUGCUAGUGCUGGACGGACUUUGAGAGAAGAAUUAUACACUUGAUUUUUUAGGAGUUGGGAGAAGAAGACCAAACCCAAACCCACAGCUGCUUUAUGUUAAACUGUUUGCUGCUACUGCAUCUAUGAUCUUACAAGAAGAAGUCGGAGGGACUCAGGAAUCAGGAAUAAAAAACACACACACACACACACACACGGGUGGUGUUGAGCUCAUAAACCUAAGAAGAUGAAGAAGCAUAACUGUCUUGUUUCGCUAUUUUGACCUUGGGCCUGGCCUGUCUAUUCUUAUCUGGACAUCCUCCACCCCAACUCUAAAAUUUUUAGGCUUGGAUGGAUGGAUCCACCAUCUCAGUUAAUGGGUAAUACUAAUAGAAUAAAUAGAUUUGCCAUGUAUGUCGAGUUCAAGUCAAAUCGAAUCGAUUAGUUAAAUUUGAGUCGAGUAUAGAGAAAUUCAGCGCGUCGAGGUGGCUCGAAAGUUAAAUUUGAGUCGAGUAUAGAGAAAUUCAGCGCGUCGAAGUGGCUCGAAAGUCUAUGUGCAUAUAUGUAUAUAAUUAUAGUGAAAUUCCAAUUAUAUUCCUAGUAUUUUUAUUAUUUAUUAUGGACAAAUGACUAUUUUAUUUAUUUUUAAAAAAUAGAACAAUUAUUUUUACAUUUUAAAGCUCAAAUAAGCUCUCGGCUUCUAGCUCAACAAGGGUCAAAUUUGAGAUCGAAUUGAAACUCGAGUUUUACAUUAAAAACUCAUCAAGCUCGACCUCGAAUUCGAACAUGGUAAAAUUGAAUCAGGAUUCGGUUCGACUAAACUAAAAUUUGAUUCGACUCGUUUGCGGUCUAGAACAUAGCAUCGAAUUGCUCCAUCUCAAGUUCAAUCUCAAAUUAGUUGCUAAUUCUUGAGGCUUAAAUAGAAUUCUAGAACAGAUAAUGAAAUUGAUUGAGAUCCCAAGCUCAAAUUCAAGUCUGACCAACAAAUCAGUGAAAUCCAGGCUUGCUACACUAAAAGGUGUGAUCGAAAGUGACUCUCUUACAACUCAUCUGCAUUGAGAAAAAGCAAUUUGUUCGUUUCCUUCCGAUGUUGAACAGUAAAGGACGAAAGGUCCCUUUUCCUUGAUAUUUCAUUUCAUCUGCUCCCCCCGCCUAUCUUCAAAACAACAUCCCUUUCUCUUGAUUUUGCACGACGUAAUUAUAAAAAUUGCUACUACAUGACAUAUGUAUAAAUGAUAGUAAGAAAUAAAAGAACCGUGUUGUAUUUCUGUGAAUAUGUAUUGAGUAGACAAAAUUUAUGAGAUGAACUGACUAAUUGGAAUUGGGGGAGGGGAGAGUUGAGGAUGGAUAUGGAAUGACGGGAUGAUGGGAUGUUUUUGGGGGGUUUUUUUUUUUAAUCCUGAAACACUACUGUGGAUUUACAGAUACGUGUAGGAGGCAUCCCGAGCGUAAGAAGGCAUAAAAGCCAAGACCAUGAGCAGUCCCAUAAUGCAGAUUGGAAGCAGAAGCAGGAGAAAUGGCGGAGGCGGCAGCGGUGGAAGGACGAGAGGCAGCAGCAGCAAUGACGCCGUCAGGCAAACCAACAGAAACAGCCCCUGGAAGCUCAGAUAACCGGAGCUGCCGGAGAACACCUUUUUCCCCUGCUGGGACAAUGACCGCCUGUAUUCUGUUUUCUUGCCUUCCGUCGUCGUUCCGUUCAUCAUCUUUUUCACAGGGAAAGCAUUUGUACCCCGGCCCCGGCCACCGGUAUUGAUAUUGUUCCCAGCAGCAGCAGACGUCGUUACAUCCAUGAAACUGCCGCCGGCCGAAUACAGAUGAUGAUGAUGCCGAGGAUGAUGGUCUUGGAACAAUCUCAAGUCUCUUGCUCCCUCCGAAGGCCGCCGCCCUCCAUCUCCAACACUACCCAUUUCCAACAUACAAUACAACCGACCAAUCCAGUAGUAUCAAGCAGCAGCAGCAGCAGCAGCAGAAGCAGGUUCGUCUUUAAUUAAAAUCUCAAUGCGGUACAGAUUUCCUGAUAAUUGCCAAUUAAGUUGAUGAUUGCUUAUUCCUAAUAUCAGUUGUUGAUUUGGCUGACAAUUUCUCCUUCUUGCAGUACUCUAAAACGAAUCUCCUCUGAUAUUGAGAGGAGCCCAGGAAUUGAGCAGCAGAUGCAAUAGAACAAGAGGAGGAAAUGAUAAAAUGGAUCGUCAAUAUCUGUUAUCUCUCUCUCUCUCUCUCUCCCCCUCCCCAACAAAUGCCAAAUUUGAAGAUGAGUUUGAUAAUAAUAAUGUAUGGGAUAAGCUAUAUUUAUUCGGGGAUAGGGAAUUGUUGGUAUCGGAGAAAGAAAGAAAGAAUGAGGAGAGGAAGAAUGUGAUCAUAAGGGGAUGGAGGAAGGAGGAAAGUUUAAGGCAAGUUAUUUGAAGAAGAAGGGAAGGGGUAUGGUACGUUAUCAGGGAAGGGAAAUCAGGGGGAAGAUGGGGUGGUUUCUGGUUUGAAAGGUGGAAUGAAUCAAGUUGGAAUGAGAAAUCGUGAGAUUGGAUUUCAGAAACCUCCCCCUCAAUUUUCUGACGAUUUCACUUGCCACCCAUAACGUUUAAGAAAAAUCACCUGUCUGACGAUUUUAAGAAAAAUCACUUUGGAAUGAAAGUUGCCCUUUAGUUGUGGUCCUAUAGUUGUAAUGACAAAUCAAUUUAAAAUCUCUUGACAUUUAAAAACUUGACGGAUGCAUUUUUUAAUAAAAAAUUAUCAAUUUUCACAAAUCUUAUCGAUAAUUUGGAGACGACUUUUAAAUUUAACAAAUUAUAAAUAACUAACAGAGCAUGCAAAAACUAUUUGAAAUAUUGUAAAGAUGAAGAAAAUAAAACUUUUUUUUUCUCAUUCUAAACAUCUCAAAUAAGUUUAAAUGUAAUUUUAAACAUUGAUCACUUUUUCUAAUUUUCAAGCCAUGGAUCUGGAUAAAAAAGAAUUAAAGAUUCUAAACGACUUGUACAAUUUAUUAAAUCAGCUCAAAACAAUUUACAUAAAAGAAAGGUUUCUGAUUCUCAUUUACUAAUCUAAAGCCACACAAUAAGCACAUGGAUAAAAUGAAAUUGAAGUUUUAAAAUCGUAGCUAAAACCCUAAAUUGCCGAAGAAAUCUACAAUUUUUCCAAAAGAAUAAUAAUAAUAAUAAUAUAGGGUUUCUUUUUUGUUAUGUGACUUUAGUUAGAGUGGCAAAUGGACAAACCCUAAAGGGAAAAAAUUCUGGUAGAUAAAUUUUUAUUAUUUGUUUGUACUUUAGAAAAACAUGACGUUUCUUAUUAUUAUUAUUUGUUUGCACAUUAGAAAAACAUACUAUUGCUUAUGAUUGUGACUGUUAUAUCUUGUCCCUUUAACAUACUGCGUAUGAUACAUCUUCAUGCCUCUAACAAAUGGAAAGAAAUUAUUUUUUAAUCAUCAUAUAAUAAUUUGAAUCGGUUUGAGAAUGUUACAAUGGUUUAAGAUUAGGGGAGGCAAGUAAUAUUUUUAAAACUUUAAGGAUGCCAAGUGAAACUAUCAUAAACUUGAGGGGAAAUUGAAUUGUAGUACUGAAUCAUAUGAUUCGGUGCAGGAUAUUUGUGGCAUAAUCUAUGUGGAAAGAGACCAAGAAAGAUAGAGGGGGGAGAAAAAAGAGGAGGAUUGGGGGGGGGGGGGGGGGGAAUGGGGUUGGGUUCAGUGAAUAGCAAAAAACAAGUGGGGGCUGCUCACGUCCAACGACCAAGUUGAUGUUUUCUCGGUUGGAAACUCGAUGGGGUGUACGCCCCCACGGCCAAGGUUCUUCUCCCCUGGACAUCACCAAUCAAACUUCCCCAUCCUUUUUUUUUCCUAUGCAUUCAUUCAUCGCUGCUUUCUUUAUUAUUGUUGGUGCCGUUGCGCAAUCUUUUCUUUCCCCAUCUUGCUACGUUCCUCGGCAUCUCAUCACUCGUUCCAUCUCCCCCGCCCCCACUGAAUUAAUCACCUCUUUUAGUACUACUACAGUACCACGUCUUGGGAGAGAGAUGUGUACGUAUGUAUGUAUCUAUAUAUAUAUAUAUAUAUAUAUAUAUAGAGAGAGAGAGAGAUCCCGCUCCCAAGUUCCAACAAGACGGACCCUCCCUUAAUUAUAGAGUUCCAGAGUAGUAGUAGUAAAUACUACUACACUAUAAUAUUCUGAGUAGUAUUAUUUUAGGAGCAAGUAUAUAUAGUCCACAAAAUGCUGAAUAUACUACUGAACUGAUAGUAAUAUUUAAAGGUGUCAAAAUAGGUGACUCGUGCGGGUUUGAGUUGGUUAAAAUGAGUAUUGGGUAUAAGUGAGUCAAUAUAUUUAUAUCCAUGUAAUUAGAUGGGUAUAAAUAGGUUAGUCAAAAAAAAAUGAGUUAGGUAACCCAAUUACCCAUUUAUAAGUAUAACCCAUUUAUUUUAAAUUUUUAUAAACUCAAUUGAAUUCAUUUUCGCAAAAUAGGUUAUCAAUUUAUACUACUAUUUGCACCCAUCAUUAGUUUUAAAUAUUUGCUUAUAAUGCUCAAUAAGCCUAAUUAUUAAUUUUUUUUCCCAUUCGUGCUCCACGUCGCAAAAAUUGCACACUAUUUAAUAAUUGAACAAUAAGAAUAUAAAAAUUUGAACUAAAUCCUAUGAAAGUUAACAUAAAAAUUUAAUCCAACAACUUUGAACCCCAAGCAUUCUUUUUUCGUGUGCAAAUUUAAAAUUUCAUUUUGAAAAGGUAGGAAAAGACGUUAAAACUUGUCAUAAAUUGGUAAUACUGAAAAAUGAGCAUGGUAACAAACUAAGAGAAAAUAAAAUGAUAAGAUGAAAUCAACAAAUAAUAAUAAUAAUAAUAAAGCAAAAGUAGUUAACAUUAUGACAAAAUGAAGAAUCUAAAAAAAAAAAGGGUGAGAGAAGAGAGGAUGCUUGAGGGAAGACAAUUCUAAUUGGGUUAACUGAGUUUGAUGGGUUACCUAAUAAUACCCAUUUAAUAAUGCAUAUUUAAUAAAUAAGUAUUAUUGGAUAAUCCAUUUAUACCCACAUGUAAAAAUUUAAUAUAUCCAUAUCCAUACAUUCGGCUCUCGCUUUAGCCUUAUGUCUUAUCCUUAGGAGGCCAGCCUCCACUAGAAGGCUUUUUCACGGACACUCAUCAUAAUUGUUGUUAUGAUUGAAAUGGAGAGGGAUUUUUAACUCAAUAUUGAUGUAUCAAUUUGUAUUUUAUUACUCGUAUCAUUAGGAAAAGAAAAUAUCCGAUUUUGAGAUUCAAACCGUUCAUGAAUUCGUAGUCAUCAAAGGUCCAACUGAUCACCAAACCUGUAUUCCAGUCAAAGUAAUAGGAAUUAGACCUAACGCGAUUCAAAAUAGAAAAACUUCAAUCAUUUCAAUUUAUUUGAAUGGACGGGGUACUAAGUAAUAAGAGAGAAAAUGGUGAGUUAAUUUUGUGUUGCUGGGAGACGGCUGGCUGUGAUCUCAAGUCAUCGGUCAAACGAAUCCAGCAUCAAUGCAUAUCGAGGUAGUCAGGCCGCAUCCAUCCGCCCUUCCAUUGAAUUUACCCAUCCAUCUCACAACAACAAUUACCAAGUACUGCCACUAAAACUUAAAUUCACUAUUGUCGAUUCCAUUCCACGUUAAUGUACUCGUGCGUACGUAAAUAGUCGCGGCUGCCACCUUUGCAUUAAAGUAUUUAUAUUGACCAAAUCUACAACCCAUCGAUCAUCUUUCUUCGGAGUCAGUCUACUGAGUCGUGCGUACGCCCGCCCGUCCAAAAUAUGUUGGCUAUUGCUGUUCUUUGGGAUCGGCUCGAUGAUCUCGAAAUAGUCUAAUUAGAUUUGGAGAUCGUGCGUUCGAAUCACCUCUCGAUCGUUUGUGUAUUCUUGGAGGACGGGAUGCACAGACGCAGAAAGAUUAGUGUAUCAGAAAAUUGAAAUACUCCUCCCUGUGUUGGAAAAAAAAUAUAUUACUGCCAUUUGUUAACCAGUUAGACAGCAAUUAAAGAUAAAAUCUUUUUUGUUCAAAACAUUACACAACAGCAAUUUCAUUUUUUUUUUUGGGAAGGAAUAAAAUAAACAGAAACCAAAGAAAAAAGAUAUACGGGUCUUGAAGUUUGGUAAUUGAUGAUACGAUGCAUCGUCAAUGGAUCAGAAGGGAAGGAAAAAAAGGCAGAAAGAGAGCAAGUAGCCCAACGAAGCACGACACAAUAGCAGAGGAAGAAAUCGAAAAGCACCUAAUAGUAGUAUACGAUAAGAUAUACAGGCACACCAAACUGCACCUAAUUAGGAAAACCGGUCAGCAAUUCAUUGAAUUGAACCUCCUCCUCCUCCUCCUUAAUGCACCACCCCUACGUAACUACGUGCUUAAGCCUACCAUCUCUCCAUUCCCUAUAUAUAUAUAUAUAUUUCCUCCAUCUCACUUUGAUAGUCCUGUAUUCCUUUUUCAUCUGUUCCAAAUUAUAGUCCACUUUCCAAUUGAAGAAUGUAGGUGUAUUUUAAUUUUUCUAAAAUACCCUUAUUCAAUGUAAGUAGUUGUUACUAUAAACCUACCUCAUUUAAUGAGAGUUGAUUCUUUUUUUACUAUCAAUUCAAGUUCCCAUAAAGUUGUACCAUAUUUAAUGUGAGGGUAUUUUAGGAAAAUAGCAAUCUAAAUUUACUUUGCCAACGCAGUUAACUACUUUUUCUUAAACUGUGUGAAAAAAGAAAUAGAACUAUUAAAGUGAGACGGAGGGAGUAUAUGAUUAAUCUUUUAUGCACUGACAGUAUAUACACUGUCAUGGUUAGAUGAAUGCUCCGCCACAUAUGUUAAAUUUAAAUUUCACUUAUGUGAUAUUUAUCUAACGGUGAUAGUAUAUACGCUGUCAGUGUAUUGUAUGUGUGUGUGUGUUUUUUUUUUUUUGAAGGAAAAGCAACUUUUUCGUCUUUGAUGUGAGGUGAUUAUAGAGCUUUAGCAUUAUGAUUAGGUACUAAAUUCUUUGAUUCUUUGAUUUUUUUUCUCUCUCCCCAUAUAUAAUUCGAUGGUAUCUUUAAUCUUUCACGAAUAACAGGAUAUUAUCAAACUCUAUGCGGCACUAUGAUCAUCUUUGGCAUUACUAAUAGAAGCAGAUUUGAGGAAAGUGGAUUAAUAUACCUACCGCGAAUAGAGGAUUAAUGCACCAUUACAAGACGAAGAAAGCAAAACAAAUGGCACACGUGGGUUUGUCGCCGUCCAUAUAUAUACAUAUAUAUAUGCAGAAAAUAUCCUUCAGUGUAAGUAGGGAAUUCUGCCGAACCGACCAAAAACACUCAUGGCUCACUCCACUAUAAUUACGGAAUCAAAUACCACGCUUUUGCAACUACUGCUGAUGCCAUCUCAUGUCGUGUUGGUAUCAUUUCUCAUGCACCUAGCGUUUUUUAUCUGAAAAUCACAUCUCAUAUUCUCUGUACUCCCUCCCUUUUUUUAUAACUGACGUUUAAGGUUUUGCACACUAAUUAAGAAAAGUUUUUCAUUGUUUAAAUCUAUACACUAUUUUCCUUUUGUACCCUCAUUAAUUGUCCAAUUCACUCAUGUUUUCUCUCACUAGAGUAUUAAAUGGUACUGUUUUACUAGGCCAAAAGCAAAGAGAGAAGUAAUAAUUACUAGGAGUAGUAAUUAAGAGCCCUGUAUUGGUAAAGAGAGAUAAAAGGGUAAAAUUGUGAAAAAAUAAUUAAUGCUGCAUGGGGAUAAUACAACGACAGAUAAAAGUACUUAAGAGCAAAUUUCUUAAACGUCAGUUAUAAAAAAAGAGAGGGAGUAUGUGUUAAGGGUUUUAAUUAACUGUGCUCGAUGGCAAUAAUUACUUAAAUCACACCUAACAUAGAAUACACGUACUGAUAAUUAUUACUCUGCCACAUUCAUAUUUAUGUUUGUUAGUCAAAAAAUCCGAGAGUUCCUAAACUAAACUAUCACCGUCGUCUAAUUUUAAUCCCCGAUCUAAGUGUUGCUUAAAACAAUUAAAAGUACGCAUAGUUGAAACAGGAACUCAAGGGGAUUUUUGUGCACCCCUAGCCAAAAGCAUCCACAGCAGAAUUUUAAGAGCAUCGAGAGAGCAGAAGUCUCGAGAAAAAGGAAACCCUUCAUUUUUCUUUAACCUCCGAAUAAGAUUUCUCCACGAAUCUUUGAAAAAACCUAACUUGAAAUUUUGCUCCUAAUGCCUUUUGAUUGAGAGGCUGUAUAAAAUACCCUUCAACUGAUCGUAAAUGAUCGUAAAUAAUUCUUUAAACUGUGCAAUUUAAUUGUUUAGGGAUCGGUUGGAGGCAAAUUUGAGAUCAAAAGUGGAUAACUGUGAUAAUUUAUGAUUUUUUUACUCUACAUUUAUAUACUUUCUCCAAUUAAAUUUACUCUUUUUUUUAAAAAAAAAAAAUUUAACAGGAGACCCUCGUGUCCCGUGUUAAAAGUUAAAACACGAAUCACAGAUGCACGAUUCUCGUGUACAAGUGGCGUAUAGACACGUGUUGACUUGCAGUCCAUUAAAGCAGCAAAAUUUCGAUGGAUGGUUCGCAGAAGAAGGCAAUAAUAAACAUAAAUGGAUUUUACACGUUUAUUUGCUUUCUUUUGACCGAAUUCAAAAUGUGACUGUUGGCUCCCUCCCAAAGUGACGAGUAUACCUGGCAAUUGGGCGGGUUGGGCGGAUUUUAGGCAGGUUAAUAUUGAAUUUUCAUUUAAAUGGAUUAUACUCAACCCGUUUAACUUUAGAUUGGGUUGAUUUUGGAUUGAGUCAUAUUGGGUUAUCUCAAACCUAUGAUCCAAAUAUGACCAAACAAAUUAAUUAAUACAUUUUAAUACAUAAACUUUUUCACAUACAUUUUAACACACACAAUUUUUUUUUUCACAUAUUUAAACACAUUUUCACAUACAUAAAUAUAUUUUCACACGCACAAACACACACUCACUUCUUAAUUUCCUUGGAAACACAUCAUAAAUAGAAUAAUAUUUUAUAUUGCUUGUAUUGUGAAUUUUAGAUAAUAAAUUAUACAUUUAAAUAGAUUAACUAAAAAAAUUGUUUACGUUGUACUUUUUUUAACAUUACUAAUUGAUUGAAACUUAUUUUUGUCAUAACUUAUUAACACUUUUACUAUUCAUAUUUGUUUUAUUGUAAAUUGUAAUAUUCUAUGUAUAUAAAUUAUUGAAUGCUAGAUUAUAUUAUACUUGAAAAUUUAAGUAAGAGACAUAUAAUUUGUUGUAUAAUAAUUUUGAAAUUAUAGAAAAUAAGUUAGUACUUUAGUCCUUAUAUUCUCAAAAACUUUGAUUCGACAUUGAUUCUGCAAGUUGAGUCCUAACUUUACGCAUUGAUUCAAUUAAUUUUGUUGAAAUUGCCUCUUCCAUUAAGUUUAGUUACUUGUGCACACACUUGUUAGAAAACAAGAUUUUGUGUCGGAAUUUGUUUAGCUAGUAUAGUAAUCUAGGUUCGAAGUGGAUUCUCCCUCUUUUUGUUCCCUUGUGUCUCCAUUGGAUCCUUCCCUUUCCCAUAGCCACUUUUUCCUUUACCACAAAAAUUUUUUAAAAAAAGACUUAAACAAAUGAUAGCCAACUAUAUUGAUUCGAAGUUAAUAUCGUGAUCUAUAUACAUAUAAUAUAUAUUAGAAGGUAUUUUUUUAUUGGUUUGAUACAGUUAGAUAAUUCAUCACUUAGUUAAUUAGAAUCAUCUAGGAUCAUACAUGAUGCUAUGGUCAUAUUAAUAUUUUAGAAUUACCACAGUUCUAAUAUAAAGCAUAAAAUAUUAUAUACUUGUAAAUAGUUGGGCAUAUGUGUAUUAAAUCUUGUAUUUAUUAUUUUUAAUUACUUUUAAACAAGUUGAAUAUUGGGUACCCAAAUAAAAAACCCAACCCGUCCAAUGAAUAAGUUGGAUUAUUCUUACUCAACCCAAUAAAACCCAAAACCCAAUUGACCCAACCCAUCAUCUAAAAUUAAUAAGCGGGUUGGGUGGAUUGUUGUGUUUUUGACUUUUUUGCCACAUCUAGUGAUGAGAAUGAGAAUGAUAAUGACCCUCCAAACACUACAGCUCUCGUAGUACUACUCUCAAAUGACUCAUCAAUGUUACGUAAGUACCAUAUAUCAACUAACGACGAAAAAAAUUGUGGCUUAAUUGUGGUUGGGACCUAAUUGAGGCGGCUUCCUCCGACGGAAUAAUCUCAUCGGCUCCUCCUCCCCUUAUAUUAGACUAGAGUAGAUCAUACAAAUAUUAUCGUUACGACAGAAAAACAAAAAAAAAUGACGACAACAACAAGAAGUAGAGGAAGCCCCACCGUCCUCACAACCUCCGGCCACCCACCCACCCACCCACCUACACCUACCCUGAAGCUUCUAUCUGAGGAUUUCCAAUAUUAUCUUAGAACCUGAACAACGACAAGAGCAAGAGAUAAAUUCAAUCUGCCGUACACACAAUGGCCUUUUUUCGUUCAUGCCUCUUUUCUAAGUUGGAAAAAUCAACUUCAAAGAGCGUCCGUCAGAACACCAUCCUUUAGUGUGUACUACUUGCAACGUUUCAUUAGUGUGUUUUUAGUUAUCAUCCUUCUUCUUCUUCUUCUCGGUCCAUCCAUCCAUCAACUCAGGUUAGACACCCAAAGUCAAAGAAAGACAGAAUAUAUAAACGUACAUAUAGAAAGCCAAAGUCCAACUUGCAUAUAUAUGAUCAUGCGUACUCGUCUGUCUGGCUAUUCCACCACUUCCGUCUCACUCACUGCCGUGUCCAACUUGCAAAUCCACGACUUUAGACCCCAAAAACAUGCAUCCUUCAUACAAGUAUCAGACCAUUCCUCUGCUCUAUCAUCAACCAAAUCCAAUUCACCUACAACCUUCUAUCCCAUCCUAUCCACUCAAAAAUACCACAUUCGUUGAAUUGGAGGAAAGCCUGUACUGUGAUCUAUCACACACUCGUAAUGUAAUGCGUCAAGUUGGCUGAGUAACUUAUGCAUCAGGCAAGCUUCUCAGGCUUAAUGUUGUGUAAUUCAGAGUCAAAAUUUUAUCUGGCAAAAGCUUCAAUGUCCCAUCACUAAAAACUACAGAGGCAACUCAUACUUGCAAUUCUAAGCCAAAGCUGUAAAGUUCUCACACGAUGUGACAUAUUUCCCUGUACCAAAACUUCAAGCAGACAGUUCAAUGGGGGCGAUUCCAUUAUCCAGAGCAAAAAAACAAAAAAAGUAAGUAUAAAAUUGUUCUGGUAAUAUAGAGAACAAGCAUAAUAUACUGAUGCUGCAUAGCCUCACUAUGUACUCUAUCAGGAAAAUAUAUCCAGUCAACCAGGAUACUACACUCAGAUAUUACCCGCGCAUGGAAUGAGUGAGAGCUUGUACAGACAACCAAAGUCGCCCACAGCCACAAAAUGAUUCAAAACACACCUCCUAGAUUACAGAAUUUGCAUUAUUUGAGGUACACAACAGAGCUCGAGUUAAAUUAAUUUAUUAAGGCAGUACUACCUCAACAACAGCACAUAUUCAGCUCUGGCUUCCAUAUUCCCCUACCAAGAUUGUCUUCACUCCUGUAGAACAAAAAAUGUAAAUGUUAAUCCAACAUCCAAUCUGAUGCAAACAACAGAACGAAAAAAAAAUGUACUACAACAAGCUCAGAAAGCCAGGGAAAGCAUUCUAGUUUGCCUCCCUUGUGGCCAAUAUCAACAUUGACAGAUUUGUAAGGCAACAGGACAAACACAAAUAGACUCUUUAUCUAUCUAUGAUGGCACCUGACGCUGAAUACAGAUUCAAUGUUUGUAUUAGCUAGUGCCUUUAGUUUCAGGGGUUGGAGCUCAUUUUAUCUAAUAACAUUCCUACACGGUGCAGGACCUCUUACAGAAUAUAGUAGACUUUUAGUUCUUUCAUUAUUUCUAAAUAUACUGAUAUCAGAUCAUGCUAGAUAUUAAAAGCCCUUGUAGCUCUGAAUGAUUCUUAAUAAGCACCUAAGUCUGCCACAUCCAGUGAUUCAAAGUAAUAUGAUAGGCAUGUGCAGACAUCAAAACUUCAGGCCUCCAAAGUAAAGCAAACAAGACACUGAUAAGUGAUGUUAAGAUGGUUUCCAUAUGAAAGGAGGACAACAGACUUAAAUGUGAGACACGAAAUACGGUUAGGAAAGUUGAAAAAAAAAAUCGAUCAAAUUGUUUGCUCCUACCCUUUUUUACUACCAGAAUCAUCCUCCCACAAAAAGGGAUCAGAUUCAUUCUUCUCACAUAAAGUUUUAUUUUGUAGUUUCUCUGCUCCAAACAAUGAAAAGGAAGCUGAAAUUUACAGGAAAUGUCAAAAGAUUUCCCUUACCAUCUAUUCCUCAGGAAACAGUACGAAAAUAGUAAGAUGAUAGGUGGAAAUGGUCACAAGACUUGGAAAACUACAGGUCAUUUGUUAACAAUAUUUCGAUGCGAGGGACCAUUGGGAACUCUUAAAGGGAAAGGGGUGGGGCGUUUUUUUUUGGGGGGGGGGGAAUGACUUCUGAAACCAAUGCGCUUUUUCCUCAGCCAACAUUUGCAAAAAGUCCAACAACAAGAUAUUUCACUGCCCCAGCUAUAUUAGGUGGGGCAAUAAUAUGUUAAGUUCAAAACCAACAUAUAUAACUCAAGGGCAUUCAAAUGAUUCUGGCAAAAAAGCAACACAUUUCUGUCCCCUGCAGCAGUAUGCUAUAAGCACAAAAAGUGAUGAAUGCUUGUUCAUUCAAAGGUUAUCAGAAAGAUCUCAAUUAGCUACACAGUCAUGGAUAUGUUUAAUGUCAUGUUGUAGAAUAAAAUCACUGUAAAAAUAAAAAGCGUUAUCCUUGUUUCGUUGUCAUUCAUUUAUGUUCCCAACAUACUGAGAAUUCACCUUAACCACAGUUCCUAAAGACAUGUUCGUGAAAUUAUGCAUUAGAUAAAUAUGUAUCCCACUCAGCAUCUAAGAAUUCAAUCUUUCGGAAUUCAGACUAUCGAAUGUACUAAUUGUGAAAGUUCAGAGGACUUCAUUAGUGGUUUGCUAAGAGGAGGAAAAUCUGUAUGAACUCGCAACAUGUGGUUCCAAAAACCAAAGCCUAAUCAUUGACUGCUCACUAGAACACGUGAGAGCUAUGCAUCUCAAGGGUUGCAAUAGAGAUGUACUCGAGAACUUACAUCUUCAAUUAGCAUCCAACUAGCUAGCUCUUCUAAAUUAUCACUAACCAUCAAUUCCAGCAUUCUAGUUAGCCUAUCUCAAAAAUGAAACUUGGGUAGUACCCAAUAUCGAUGACAACAUAUAUUUACAUAAAUACCCCACAUUUUGUUCAAUAUAUGCAUUAAAUACUUUCUGAAUCUAUCACCAGCAAUAAUUUGGUCAAGUCAAUAUUUUCAACAUUACGCAAAUACAGAGUUUGCAGGUCAAUUCCCACGGUAUAACUCAGACUGAUUAAAAGAUGAAAAAUACAUUACUGUAUCAUCACAGAAAUGAAGUUAAAAGAUGAAAAAGCCUGAACAACAUUGAAAGGAAGAAAAAGACACACCAAAAGACAAACAAACACUAAGAACCCACAAACCUCAUCAUCGUCAUCGUCGCCUCCAUCUUCCUUGUUCUUCUUGAAGCGAGUGGUACCACCCUCUUUGCUGAUGGGUAACUUCAUAGCUCCAAAAGGCGUAUCCACAUUUAUGUGGCCUUUGAUGGUGUAGCCAGUGCCUUUUCCUCUAAUCAUGUCCCAAACAGCAGAUCCAAAGUCCUUUGGCCUGAAGGUAAUGGGAAUAUCAACAUAGCUCAUCCCAUUUUUAUCAAUUUUAGCUGAUUUUUGGAGUUCUGCACCCCCAAUGCUCACAUCAGACAGCCAAACCUCAUAGUCAAGUGUAUUGAGCCCCAACUCAAAAUCAUUUUUGUUCUCAAUCUUCAGAUGCAGUAGAGCAACAGUUUCUUCAAAAGAAAAUCUCUGAAAACGAAUUUUCUCAAGAUCAACAUCUGGCUUAUAUGGUAUGGGAAUCUCUCCAGUCUUCUCAAGUGGCAAAGUUAGCCUGCCAAGAACAGGCACAUCCACUAUGAGAUCAACCUUGAUCCUAUAAGGAAUAAUACUGCCAGGCUUGAUAUCGUCAUAGGUGCUUUUAAUGUCAUCAUAUAUCAAAGUAAGUGGUAUCUUGACAGUCUCGGAACCAUGUGCAUGGAGAGUUCCAGCAUCUGGGAUCAGCCCAGAUACUAAUUUCCUCCCUUCACUCUCAACCAAGUAAUUGAUAUCAACAAGAGGGAUUGGAAUGGGAUUUGGGUUUUUAACAAGCACGUCAACAACAAUAUCUGCUUUUUCAAGAUUGAUGGAAGGGAUGUGAAUUCCUGUGACAUCCGCAGUGGGUUUCCCAAAUCCAAUGGUUUCUUCAAUCUUCUCUCCAAUAUCCUGAAUGAAAUCCUUCACUUUCUCAAGAAAUCCGCCCUUUUGUUCAUCUUUUUUGUCUUCUUUUUCCUCUUUCUCCUUGAUGGCCCUCUCAACUAUCUCUGGGUUAUCAGAAGAUGCCAUGCCUUGAUAGAAGAAUAGUAAAGAAGAAUGAUAAAGCAGAAAAGUAAGCACAAAAAAAAAGAAAGAAAGCAACUUACAGUAUAAAUUGAUAAUCCAAGCUCUAAAGUUUGAACAAAUUAAUACAAUAUACAGGAACUACUCUAGGCAACUUGAAAAAAACAAAGUAGCUGAAGCUAUACAAGUACGGGAAGAAAAGGAUAUUAUGAGCAACCAGUUUCGAUGAGACUACUUUAGCUAGCACUCACUCAAGUUUUGUCUCCAUAUUGAGUCGCAAAAGAAGUAAACCAAAAAAAAAUCAAUAAUAGGUUAAGGUAAAAAUUACAUUUGGUAAAAGUUUGUAAGAGAAAAUUCCAGCAGCAUGAAUAAAAAGAGACGAGCAACUACCAUGCUAACCCUUGAAAAAGAAUGAAUGAGUAAUAGUUAAGGGGUGGCAGUAUAGGCUGUAGAGGAGAAGCUGAAGCAGAGUUUCAUCCCCACCCCCAAGAUCAGAGUAAUAAACCUGAUUAACACUCAUUUUACAAAUUACAGUGGUAGUGUCUUAACUAAGACAGACGCCAAUGGAAAAGGAAAUCCUCCGGAGACAAAGCAACAGAGCAAGGAAAAGCAAUGAGCAAACGAUGGGCGUUAAAGCUACGGUAUUUGGCAGAUGGUACUAAUAAUAUUCACUAUAAAAAGAGCAUAAAGAAGCAGAAAUGAAAGAAAACAUUUAACAACCACCAAAAGAAAAAAGAAGCCAUAAAAAAGAAAAAGAGAAUACAAACAGGGAGAACAUAUCAGACACUGAAGAAUGCUCUGGCUUUCAGCAAUGAGUGAACGAACAAUCCAAAAGAAAACCCAGAAAGACAUAAACUUUUUUUUAAAAAAAAAUAAACCAAAAAUUUCGAUCAGAUCCGAUCUGCACCAAGAAUGCAAUACUAGCAGCAGCAGCAUUUAUGACAGAAAACAGGGAGAGAGAUGAAUGAAAUGAAUCGACAUGGAACAAGUUCCCAAAUUCACAGGUACGAGUACGAACUAGAAGCAAACACAAAGCAGUAGCAAUUAAUCUGAAUGAACAAUACAAUCUGCUGAUAAAGGAGAUGGGAUCACGGAAAAAAGAUAAAGAAAACAGACACCUUUUUUUUUUUUUUUUGUGGAAUCCAUUUAUUCAUAUACCUGCGAGAGAAAUUUGGUAGAUAAUCCAAGCGGAGUGGGAAGUUGAGAGCGUGAGUGAGAAUGGGAACGAUGAGAACGGAUACAGACUUUUGCUGUUCUGAUUUUUAUUAGUGUGAACAAAAACAAGAAUGCUGCACCGGCCCAAGUACGCUCGCUACAAAACUCCUUUUUUGGUUUUUUAUUUAUUAUUUUUGCCUUGAAUUAAUCCUGUACAUUGACACUGUAAUGUCUAUACAAAUGCAAAUGCGUUUGUAAGAAUUGAAAUUGAAACUGAAAUUAGAGUCCAUUUAUAAAAAAAAAAAUUAUUGAAAAUCAGGACAUAUCAUCUAAAUUGCAAUUGAUAUGAAUAUAAAAAUUCCUAAAUUGCAAUUGACAUACAUAAUUAGUGAGGGAUGGAAAUAUUCAUUUUUUGAAAUGUGAGGGGAUGGAGAAAUUCAUUUUGUGAAUUGCGAGGGAUGAAAAAAUUAUUUUAUAAGAUGUGAGGGACGAAAAAAUUUGUUUUAUAAAAUGUAGAGGACUAUAAAUCAGAUUAUGUAAAAUAUAAUUUGACAAAUUUACCCUUUAAAAAUGAUCACGUACCUUGCACGUGGUGGAUUCCAGCCAAAAAUGAUCGAAACCUAGUUAGGGACUAAAUUUGACCGAUGUGAAUAUGUAAGGGACAUAAAAUUACACUUUUAAAAGUGAGGGACGAAAAAAGUUAUUUUACAAAAUAUGAGGGACGUUUUGAACGAUUUUCCCUUUGUAAAAUUUGGAUUUGUAAACUUUGAUCACACACGUCCACUGUAAUACUAUUAAUGAAUGAAUGAUACUCUUGACAUACAUAAAUACUACUGAUUGAUUAAGACAACCGGUGAAUAGAAAAGGAAAAAACACAAGUGACUAAGACAACGGAGCCCCCGCCCUGGGGGUUCUGACUUUGAGAUUCGGACACGAGAGGCGGGGAUGCAGUACAGCUGUGUCGUCUCAUUGUCUUAUUACUAAAAUUCAACGAACAACCUCAUCAACAGUCAACAAAUGUUUUUGUUCUCAUGCAAUGCAAAUAUGCAAUGCAAGCGACCGAUGAGAUUUUAUUUGGCAAAACAUUUGUGUGAGAUUCUUAUCUGAUCCACCAGGCCCAAUUCACCACCUAAACAAAUUUGCAUUUGCAUGCCAAGACCCACCCUGCUCUAUCCUAAUCAUGUGGCAUUUGCAUUUGAAACGACAGCUUGUAAUAAUAUUGCCUGUCAAAAUGUACAGUACAUGGACAACGGUCCGAGCAAAAAGGACAAAGGCCCUAGCAUCAUCUAUUCGAGUGCCUCAGCACUCCAAAUGUUGAGAGCAUAUUUGCUCAUUUGAACAUUCUUAUCAUCAUCUAUGUUAAUGGGGGAGGAGCAGCACUGUGAAAACAAAGUACAAAGGGACUGCACGUCUUCAAUGAUUGUAGCUAGUCGACUUCCCUGAUGACAUGAGCAUUGAGUGUAGCUGGCUAAUCAGCUUCUUGCUUUCCAGCUCUAUUUGGAUAUUUGUCCAUCUUUGGUUUGCAGCUUUGAUCAUGGCCGUCUCCAAGUUCCUCAACACGAUGAGAUACCUCUGAAGAUUGUUCUAAGCAAAAGAUUCUUUUACAUGGCAUAAAAACUCAGAUACUUUCCUGCCCCAAGAAUCUUCUGUAAUUACUGAUUAAAUGGUGGUGGCACAUCCUGGGACACAAGUGACCGAGACAAGAGCUGAUUUUUCAUCCAAAUAGAUUGUGGGCCUCCAUACGAGUCGUUUUAAUCCUUAACAAAAGCAGGAGCCCGUGGACAAGAGUCUUUGAGCUUGUAUCUUCAUAUGUACCUGUACUCGGAAACAGCAACAGCUAACUCAAGUGAAGAGUGACACUCAUUUGUCCUCGACCAGGGAAACCUUUUAACACACUUUAACCCAAUUCACCAGACCGAGUGAUGCUCUCUCUCUUUACAAAUGUGAUAAUCGAGGAUUCUUCUUAGGUAAUCCAGCUGCUCGAAUUCGCCCUGAAGUUCUUCCCACUGCAACAACACCACCACCACCACAUAAAUGCUACAUGUCAAAAGUUUUCAUUUGUUGCUUCUAUAUGUUUAGGGAGUCCUGCCAUGGAUUAGGGAUUCAGAAAAACACCAAGAACUAGGAGUGGUUUUUUUUAAGUCAAAUGUAUCCUCAUACAUAUUUGUAGCACGGGGUGAAAAAUCACUAAACUGGAACUCCCAGCAGAUGGCCCACAGAAAGUAAGAGGGAUUGAAACUCGCAUGCAUCUACUUUGGAAAACGAGGGAAAGUACAAAUGAAAAUUUGACCUCCCUCUACUAUAGGGCAUACAAUUAAGAACAGUUCGUAUAACACUUUCUCUUAAUCAACUGCUGAUUCCAAAGACGGGAAACAAAGGUAUAGCACGCAAAAUCACAAGGAAGCUUCAAAAUUCCAGUGAAAACUGAAACUAAUGAAGCUUGUGGAGAAUGAAGGUUGUUGUCUAGUACAUGACCGGCACCGUAGCUCAGAGCACACUAAUAAUUUGCCAUCUAAAGGCACUUAUGUGGUCUCAAAUUGGAGAAUCUUUCGCCAUGGCAAAUUCUGAAAAGUUCCAGAAUCUUUUCCAUGGUGUUUGUGUAAAAGUCAUUCUUUUGAAAUGAAUCUAUUGUUAAAGAGCAUGGAACUAUCAUUUAGAAGUAAACUUUUCUUUACCAACUGCUCAAAGUACAAAAUCAGCGUUUUUAUAUAAUUCAUGCGUAUUUGGUGAUACAUCUGAAGAUUUCAUGCACAUAACCUUAUUAUAACAAUAAGAAGACAGGCAAAAAUAUUGCAAAAUCCAACCUAAAUUCUACAAGAUCACAAUUUGCACACCAGAGUGUACUACACAAAAGGGUUUAUUACCCUUUCCUUUUGCUUUCUGAAACUGACAAAUUACUAGAGGCAAUACAGGAAUUCUGCUGCUUAGUUCACAGACUGUUUAUGUACCAACCAUUGAAUAAAAGAGUCCC